This is a long non-coding RNA of Coregonus clupeaformis (lake whitefish), 545 nucleotides long. RefSeq lists it as uncharacterized. The transcript is spliced from 4 exons. The record is from RefSeq and is a predicted model, not a curated record. NCBI's taxonomy places the organism in Eukaryota, Metazoa, Chordata, Actinopteri, Salmoniformes, Salmonidae.
CUCUGUAGGCCUGUGAUUGUUAUUGGAGGCUCCUCUGAUCAAAACCAAGAGACCACUGGGGCGUUUCAAGAGUUUCCACAGGUGGAGGCAUGCAGAUUGUACACUUAGCAAGGUACCUUAACUGCUUCAUAAGAGCACAGCACAGCCUUAAUUGAUCUGAAUGGAAGGGUGUUUGGUCUGUCUAAGGCAGCACGCACUAGCAUGUAUGGACGUCCAGGUGCUGUAUACGUAGACAUAUCUGGGGACAUGGUCAAUGCUAAAUUGGACAGGAGCAGAGCCAGAGAGGUGCCCUGUAGUCCACCUCCUCCUGUGAGUAUGGCUGACCAUAUGGCGAUCACAGAAGCACUGGCGGUCCUGAAAGGAGCCAAACGGCCUUUACUCAUCAUUGGCAAAGGUAGGCAUUGCUUUUUUAAUAGCCAGAUAAUCUGGGGGAAACAGAACUAAAAUCUUGCAUAAUUGCGUCAGAUACUUGGAUAAGGUCUGGGGAGAUGUUAAGAGAAAGAUACUAACGCCACUUGCGAACUCUCCACCCCCCUAAACGGAAA